AGUCGAACGCAGUAGCAAUACUGAGUGGCAAACGGGUGAGUAUAAUGUGGGAAUCUGCCUUUUGGUUUGGAAUAACACGGGGAAACUUGUGCUAAUACCGAAUAAGCCCUUACGGGGAAAGUUUUAACGCCGAAAGAUGAGCCUGCACUUGAUUAGCUAGUUGGUAAGGUAAAGGCUUACCAAGGCAACGAUCAAUAGCUGUUCUUAGAGGAAGACCAGCCACAUUGGGACUGAGACACGGCCCAGACUCCUACGGGAGGCAGCAGUGGGGAAUCUUGCACAAUGGGGGAAACCCUGAUGCAGCGAUGCCGCGUGAGUGAAGAAGGCCCUUGGGUUGUAAAACUCUUUCGUCGGGGAAGAAAAUGACUGUACCCGAAUAAGAAGGUCCGGCUAACUUCGUGCCAGCAGCCGCGGUAAUACGAAGGGACCUAGCGUAGUUCGGAAUUACUGGGCUUAAAGAGCUCGUAGGUGGUUAAAAAAGUUGAUGGUGAAAUCCCAAGGCUCAACCUUGGAACUGCCAUCAAAACUUUUUAGCUAGAGUGUGAUAGAGGUAAGUGGAAUUUCUAGUGUAGAGGUGAAAUUCGUAGAUAUUAGAAAGAACACCAAAUGCGAAGGCAACUUACUGGGUCACUACUGACACUGAGGAGCGAAAGCAUGGGUAGCGAAGAGGAUUAGAUACCCUCGUAGUCCAUGCCGUANACGAUGUGUGCUAGACGUUGGAAAUAUAUUUUUCAGUGUCGCAGCGAAAGCAUUAAGCACACCGCCUGGGGAGUACGAC
Molecule: ribosomal RNA, 778 nt
Filed under: uncultured marine bacterium
Lineage: Bacteria
Description: bacterial SSU rRNA
Rfam family: Bacterial small subunit ribosomal RNA
Source: RNAcentral